AACGAACGUUAGCGGCGCGCCUAACACAUGUAAGUCGAGCGAGAAAGGGCUUCGGCCCCGGUAAAGCGGCGCACGGGUGAGUAACACGUGGAUAACCUACCCCUUGGUGGUGGAUAACCUUCCGAAAGGAGGGCUAAUACAGCGUAAGACCACGACUUCGAAAGAGGUUGAGGUAAAAGUGGGCCUCUGUACACAAGCUCACGCCAGGGGGAUGGGUCCGCGGCCCAUCAGCUAGUUGGUAGGGUAACGGCCUACCAAGGCGAAGACGGGUAGCUGGUCUGAGAGGAUGAUCAGCCACACUGGAACUGAGACACGGUCCAGACUCCUACGGGAGGCAGCAGUGGGGAAUCUUGCGCAAUGGACGAAAGUCUGACGCAGCGACGCCGCGUGAGUGA
This 395-nucleotide ribosomal RNA is filed under the name uncultured bacterium. Its description in RNAcentral is "bacterial SSU rRNA". It matches the Rfam family "Bacterial small subunit ribosomal RNA", at positions 29 to 408 of the family's 1533-position model. The record is from RNAcentral.